This 1605-nucleotide long non-coding RNA is filed under the name Mytilus galloprovincialis (Mediterranean mussel). The record is from RNAcentral. Lineage: Eukaryota; Metazoa; Mollusca; Bivalvia; Mytilida; Mytilidae.
GAUGUACACUUUGACUUGGGAAUUUUCUAGAUUGCUGCCGCUCGCCUGGCAAUGUGGGAAGGGUGCCAUCCGCUAUUGCUUGCAAUGGCAAAUCUAGUUUUUAUGGCACCCUCAACGGAGUUGGGGUGACAUCUUGUUAUUGUUCGUUUCUUUUUUUUCUUUUUAUUAUUAUUAUUUUUAUUCUUCCACACAUUUUGUCCAUACUAUUUCUCAGAAUUGGUCAGACCAAUGUAGAUGGAACUAUACCAUAAUAUGAACCGCCAUGUUAAGUUGUGCAAGAGACAUUGGAAUGGUAAAAAAUGGCCGCCGUUGCCAUGGAAACUGAUCAAAUGUGAAAAAAAAUGCAAAUUUUAAAUCUUUCAUUAUAAGACCUACCUGGAUGAAACUUAGUGGUAAUGUUCCUUGGUAUGCCUAGAUGUUGUGACAAUAUAAGAAAAUUCCAAAAUGGCCGCCAUUGUCAUGGAAACAGGGCGAAAGUUUAACAUUGGCCCUAUAGGAAAAUACAUUAAAGAUGCAUUUUCUUGAAGAAUAUAGCAUCAAUCCCAAUGAAACUUUAUAGAUAUGUAACAUGGCAUGUCCCAAAGUGGCACCUGUCUUUGGAAUUUUAGAAAUGGUACCCGUUACCAUGGAAAUGGCAAACAUUUCAAAAAUUUCAAAAUGCUCCAAAAUUAAUGAAACGUUACAACAAUGUUAAUACACAUCUGUAGAUGCAAUCUUUGACUUUGGAAUUUUCAAAAUGGUUCCCGCUCACCUGGCAAUAGGGGAAGGGUGCCAUCCGCUAUUGCUUGCAAUGGCAAAUCUAGUUCUUAUUAUUAUUAUUAUUUUUCUUGCAACAAAUUUUGUCCAGGUGAUUUCUCGAAAUCCAAUGGACCAAUGUUGAUGGAACUCUACUAUAGUAAGGACCCCCAGGUGCAGAGUUGCAGGAAGCAUGGAAUGGUUCAAGAUGGCUACCGUUUCCAUGGAAACAGAACAAAUGUGAAAAAAUCCAGUUUUUUGUUUUGGUGAACUGUUUGGAUAUGCUUUAUCUCAGAAUCAUUAUAUUUUAAUACAAUGUAGGUGCCCACUAUAUACAGGUGUUGGAUGAUUUUGGUGAUCAUUGGAACUACUAUGUUGCCAUGGAAACUACACCAAAAAUUUCGAAAUUCUCAAAAUGCUCCAAACUUCAUGAAACUUCACAGUAACGAUGAGCAACAUUGGAAGAUGAGGAAUUUGGCGUUGGAAUUUCCAAAAUAUCUGUUGUUACCUUGGAAACAAUGCAAAAAGGUCAAAACUUUGAAUUUUCACAGAACAUUCCAGAACAUCAAUGUUAAAUUUAUUCUAGAGACAUUAAAUGGUAUAUUAUUAUGGAGGGCAAAAAAUGCAGCACGGGUUUGACUUUGGAAUAUUCAAAAUGGCCGCCGUUACCAUGGAAACAGCAAAAAUAUGAAAAACUUCAAAAUGCUUCAAAUUUAAGGAAACUUAUAACAAAUGUUGCCUAGCUUAUGUAGACUUGACUUUUGAGUUUGGAAUUUUCUAAAUGGCCGCCGCUCACCUGGCAAUAGGGGAAGGGUGCCAUCCGUUAUUGCUAGCAAUUACAAAUCUAGUUAUAAUUGUGCUUAUAACAAC